This 497-nucleotide ribosomal RNA is filed under the name uncultured bacterium. RNAcentral describes it as "partial 16S ribosomal RNA". It matches the Rfam family "Bacterial small subunit ribosomal RNA", at positions 28 to 507 of the family's 1533-position model. The record is from RNAcentral.
GAUGAACGCUGGCGGCGUGCCUAAUACAUGCAAGUCGAGCGAACGGACGAGAAGCUUGCUUCUCUGAUGUUAGCGGCGGACGGGUGAGUAACACGUGGAUAACCUACCUAUAAGACUGGGAUAACUUCGGGGAACCGGAGCUAAUACCGGAUAAUAUUUUGAACCGCAUGGUUCAAAAGUGAAAGACGGUCUUGCUGUCACUUAUAGAUGGAUCCGCGCUGCAUUAGCUAGUUGGUAAGGUAACGGCUUACCAAGGCAACGAUGCAUAGCCGACCUGAGAGGGUGAUCGGCCACACUGGAACUGAGACACGGUCCAGACUCCUACGGGAGGCAGCAGUAGGGAAUCUUCCGCAAUGGGCGAAAGCCUGACGGAGCAACGCCGCGUGAGUGAUGAAGGUCUUCGGAUCGUAAAACUCUGUUAUUAGGGAAGAACAUAUGUGUAAGUAACUGUGCACAUCUUGACGGUACCUAAUCAGAAAGCUACGGCUAACUACGUG